RNAcentral lists this ribosomal RNA (253 nucleotides) under uncultured bacterium. Its description in RNAcentral is "partial 16S ribosomal RNA". It matches the Rfam family "Bacterial small subunit ribosomal RNA", at positions 524 to 776 of the family's 1533-position model. The record is from RNAcentral.
UACGAAGGGGGCUAGCGUUGUUCGGAAUCACUGGGCGUAAAGGGCGCGUAGGCGGCUUUAUAAGUCGGGGGUGAAAGCCUGUGGCUCAACCACAGAAUUGCCUUCGAUACUGUAGAGCUUGAGACCGGAAGAGGUAAGUGGAACUGCGAGUGUAGAGGUGAAAUUCGUAGAUAUUCGCAAGAACACCAGUAGCGAAGGCGGCUUACUGGUCCGGUUCUGACGCUGAGGCGCGAAAGCGUGGGGAGCAAACAGG